This 302-nucleotide ribosomal RNA is filed under the name uncultured bacterium. RNAcentral's name for it is "partial 16S ribosomal RNA". It matches the Rfam family "Bacterial small subunit ribosomal RNA", at positions 508 to 807 of the family's 1533-position model. The record is from RNAcentral.
GCAGUAGCCGCGGUAAUACGGAGGGUGCAAGCGUUAAUCGGAAUUACUGGGCGUAAAGCGCACGCAGGCGGUCUGACAAGUCAGAUGUGAAAUCCCCGGGCUUAACCUGGGAACUGCAUUUGAAACUGUCAGGCUGGAGUCUUGUAGAGGGGGGUAGAAUUCCAGGUGUAGCGGUGAAAUGCGUAGAGAUCUGGAGGAAUACCGGUGGCGAAGGCGGCCCCCUGGACAAAGACUGACGCUCAGGUGCGAAAGCGUGGGGAGCAAACAGGAUUAGAGACCCGCGUAGUCCCUGUCUCUUAUAC